AAUGAACGCUGGCGGCGUGCCUAACACAUGCAAGUCGGAUGUGCCCGCAAGGGUGCAUGGCAGACGGGUGAGUAACGCGUGGGGAAUCUACCUUUUAGUGGGGAAUAACGCUCCGAAAGGAGUGGUAAUACCGCAUGUGACCAUCGGCUGGGAUGCUGAUGGUGAAACCCUGGGACCUUCGGGCCAGGGGCUAGAAGAGGAUCCUGCGUCUGAUUAGCUAGUUGGCGGGGUAACGGCCCACCAAGGCGACGAUCAGUAGCCGGCCUGAGAGGGUGAUCGGCCACACUGGAACUGAGACACGGUCCAGACUCCUACGGGAGGCAGCAGUGGGGAAUUUUGCGCAAUGGACGAAAGUCUGACGCAGCAACGCCGCGUGGGUGAUGAAGGUCUUCGGGUUGUAAACUGCUUUUGUCAGGGAAGAAAUCCUCUAGGUUAAUACCCUUGGGGGAUGACGGCACCUGAAGAAUAAGCACCGGCUAACUACGUGCCAGCAGCCG
RNAcentral lists this ribosomal RNA (497 nucleotides) under uncultured bacterium. RNAcentral describes it as "bacterial SSU rRNA". It matches the Rfam family "Bacterial small subunit ribosomal RNA", at positions 29 to 517 of the family's 1533-position model. The record is from RNAcentral.